AACAAAGGCAAUUCGUUCUGUAAAAAUACUCUAGAUUCUUUCUGAGGACUGGGCACUGCUCAUAGUGGGCACACCUAAAGUCAGCAUUCAGCCAACUCAGCGGGCUUUAAGAUGGAGCCUCUUAAACCUCCUGCAUCAAAAAGACAUAAGGGACUGUCCCUGAGAAGUGCCUGUGUCUCCUUUUAAGAGAGAGAGAGAGAGAUUGAUUCUGCCUCCUUGCAAUUCGAACUGGCAUUUUGCAGAACACUCCAAUCUGAAUCACAGUGGAGGGUCAUGGGAGGGAUUUGGCACAGGGGAGUCUUGGGUCUUUGGUUUUCCACAUUGAUCAAUGGGAUUGAUUUUUUCUGUUUUUGUUUUUGUUUUAAAAGAAGAGAAUGAGUUCCUUUUUCUGUCUCCAGGAUUGAAAACAUGAAGGCAAAGAAGAGAAACUCACAAUAUGUCAUUAACUUUGGGUUAUCAAUAUUAGUAGAAAGAAUCAAUGAUGGAAAGAAUCCUAAAGGACUAGAUAAUCCGCAUAUUCGACUUCCUGAUUAUGUGUUACUGACACUAACAUUUCGGAGUGUGGAGACCCUGCCCCAUCUGGGGAGAGGGAGAGACAAAGACCCCCUGUUUGUGGUACUUGAUUCACACAUAAUGUCCUCCAUUUACUGCUUUCAAGAAGUAACCUGUUUCUAAUCUUAAAUUUCAAUCUACUGAUCACAAAAUCAUAGAGAUCCUAGCCCUGAAAGAGACUUCAUGAGACCAUGUGACCAACUUUCUGACGCAGGAUUUGAACAUCGGAGAUUAAAAUGUCUCACAAGUCAGUGCAGCAGAAUUUCCCAGCGACUUCGGUGGCGGGAGAGCAGCACCUCUCAGGGACAGCUGUGCGCAUCCCUCGGGCCCCACCGACCGCACCAUCUGACCUGCGGGAAACGAAAUCUGAGCUCAGGAAUUUGAACGGCCCCACGCACGUUCAUUCCCGGAUAAAUCUCCUAGAGGACCGUGAUUUUUCCACUUAGAGAUUAUUUAGGGAGAUGUCCUGGAUGGGACAGGUAGACAAAUGGCGGCCCGAGGAAAAUGCAGGAAACUCUACAUUGUAGACGCUUAAGCACCUACUGUCUGGGCCCCGGGGCAGGGGGCGGGGGGCAUUA
This is a long non-coding RNA of Nomascus leucogenys (northern white-cheeked gibbon), 1130 nucleotides long. RefSeq lists it as uncharacterized. The transcript is spliced from 2 exons. The record is from RefSeq and is a predicted model, not a curated record. NCBI's taxonomy places the organism in Eukaryota, Metazoa, Chordata, Mammalia, Primates, Hylobatidae.